UAAAUAUAGUAAGUUUAGAUGUUUAAUAGUAUAAAAAUUUAUUUAACAUAUUCAACAAGUUAAUCUGAAAUAGCGUAAGAGUGCCAUUUGGCUUGUAAAAUUAAAGACCAAUAAUGACAAACAGCACCUUCAACGUACAAGUUAUGCCAAGCUCACCGUAUGCAAUUCAAAAGAAAAAUUCAAGAGACCAUGAACAGCCUUAUCACCCAAUCAAGUCCUAUAAAUUGCACCAAGCUAGUUCGUUACACUGAUUACUUAGCAUUGGAGGAUCUAAAAUGUCUAAAUUGUUUCAACUAAAGAGGUGAAGAGGGCAUCCAAAAAUGGGGUCCAGAAAAAUUCUAAGAGCCUUGAAUGUUACAAGUUCAAUCUCAAAGCAAAACACUCGUUUCUUCUAAAGGCCAUCUCUAUGGUUCAUGAUUCAAGCUCCCGUCCAUCAUCCAUGAACUUCUUUUUCUGUCCUGCAGACAGAAACGGAUCUUACCACCUAUUAUUAGGUGGCUUCACCUUGUAAAUACGGACGAUCCAAUUAGAUGUUGUGAAUGCUUCUUCCAAGUAUUCAAGUUUAAUGUCCUUGUUUCCAAUUUCAACACCUCUUGCACGAUCAUACCUACAAAUAUUUACAGAAAUGAAUAAUGAAAAAGGCACAAAAUAAUAAUGAAGCCCUUGAAUAAUGGGACAUUUUCAUACCCUUUUGUGGAAAUCACCAUAUCCUUGAGACCUAGAUUAGCAGGCAACUCUAAACAUGGCAAAGCCACUUCAAGAGUUCAGACAUUGAUUUGGAGCAAAUACAAGGAUGGAAAGCUUGUUUAAGAUAUUGCAUGAUUAGUUCUACCUGUUAUCAAGCCAUACUUUUCACUCCUAAGUUUCUGACUUCUAGGAGAAGUAUUUUGUUUAAUUUUUAGCUUCACGAGUAGAUUGGUCUAAUCUAAGAGUCAAAAUUCAUAUGCAAUCCAGACCUGAGUUUUGUCCGUAUAAGCAUUUUUUCACAAUCACAUCAAUACAGGCUAAAAGAAGAAGUCCAAGGCUCACGGUAUUAUUCAAACGCUGCUUUCAUGGAUAUUGUUGAUGAGCACUAUCAGUGGAUAUUGUUCACAAGGCCAUCUAAAUAUGGUUCAUCUCCUCCAUAUUGGUUGUUCUGCAUCAAUAAGGGAUUGCAUCUUUUCCAACUUCACAGCUUUUUAACUACCUUGCAAAAUUUCCCUUCUUGACGACCACCUGUUAUUUUGGUACAUCGGAAGUUUUUGAAAGGGUAUGUUAGGGAUUAAAAAACUCAAGCUCUUGUUAUGAACCCUCAAUUGCCUUCUCAAUGACUUACAUACUACUUUUAAGAUUUGUGAAAUUAUAAGAAACUGCAUCUCCUUAUUCAAUAGUGAAUAUCCGGUUCACACCAUUCCGGAAACUUUAAUAAAUUAUUAAAAUCCCCUUCCCUUCUCUCAUGUGCAAAAUAUACUGAAUUAGGAUGCACAGAAGCGACAGACAAUGCAUAUACAUGGAUCUGCAUGCAAGUGUACAAAUGCUAACAACUUGAGAAACAAAGAGUGUGAAUAUUGAACGUACCCUGGAGGCUUGCCCAUUUCUGUUACCAAUUCUCCAAACCGAUAGUAGGAUAGCUUGUACCUAUUCACCACAAUUGGUAAGAUAAAACUUACAUGUACCAAAAGUUGGAACAAGAGUGGCACAUGACUAUGGCACUACAAAUUUGACCGCAAAGCAGUAUUAUUAUUAUUUUUUUUUUUAAAUUUAGAAGCAAGGGUAAGAAUAAAAUCUAGUAUAAGAUGAUGGAAAAUAUUUUUCAAGGAAAUCAUCAUUAUUUCAUUAAAAAGAAACAGAUAAAUUGCACAGACAAAAUCCCAAGAAAAUACUCAAAAUCUACAAUAGACACAUUAAACAUAACAAAAUCAUUUUUAGCUGACUUUCGCUUUCACAUAUAGAAUCAUUUCAAUUAAUUUAAAUACAAAUUUUUGUGUAAACUACAUUUUUAUUCCUAAGGUUUGCCGCUAAUUAUAAGACAUCAAACAUUUACUCAAGUCUUCACAUUUCAAUUCCCUUUUUUGUUUGAAUACGCAUUUAAGAAAAGUUGGUGACUUGACAUAUUGUGAGAUAAUGACAGUCCUGAAAUACCAUUGAAACCUUUGAUGUAUUGCACCUUAAAUAUUAAGCUGUUAUUUUUUAAAUACAAAAUUAAAACAAAAAUUGAAACAAAAAAUUGUUGCAUCAAUUAUCACCAUAUUCAUCAAUCUAUAAUUUAUUACCAUUUUUUUUUUCUUCCUUAAAUAAGUAGCAUAUCUUUCAUUCCAAGAAAUUUAACAUUUUUGCAUAAUAUUUUGUUGUCUAAUACCAUUUCCCGUUUAUCCUAUAUAGAUAAUUAUUUCCAAUGAACUUUGUGUUAGUACAUUGUUGGCAGAGGAAGAGGGUUUAUCCUUUAAGAACAAAUUUUAACUUCACACAUACCAUUUUGAUUGUAUGAAUUAUUUUCCUUUAUUUUGCAUUAGAGAUACAUUUAUUGAAAAAUCUAAUGAUCCAAAACCCUCGUUAACCACUUUUACUGAUUCCAUUUUAAGCCUACCUUUUAUCUUCUUCACCUCUUAUAACUUGAAAAUAAUGUGUAAAUGAAAAGAAAAUAAAAUUGGAUAGAGAAGCAAAGAAAUAUAUUUGAGAAAGGGAUGGCAACUAUGAAGAAUCAACUAUGGGUGAUUAUGGUUUGGUUUGGUCAACCAAAUCAUAAACAAUGCUGACAAACCAAAUCGAUGGCCAUAAUUCAACGAAUUACUGAUCUGAAAAGAAACCAUUAAAAUUGGAUAACUGAUUUUCCAGUUCACCAUUCUUAAAAAGCCCACAAAUUAACUAAAUCGAAAGCAAAUAAUAACUAUACAAUUGCACAAAAUUUACAAUAGAUUUCUCCAGAAUUAAUCGAUUCAAAUGAGAAUUCUAUACUGCCUCAAUACAAGACAGGGCACUCUCAAAAUCCUACCAUCCACCUUUUAUAUAAGAUUUGCCCAUAUGUUUUCAAACUGUCCACAGAUGAAAACU
Molecule: unclassified non-coding RNA, 3030 nt
Filed under: Hevea brasiliensis (rubber tree)
Lineage: Eukaryota; Viridiplantae; Streptophyta; Magnoliopsida; Malpighiales; Euphorbiaceae
Source: RNAcentral